UGUAUGUGUGUAACCAGG
RNAcentral lists this unclassified non-coding RNA (18 nucleotides) under Mus musculus (house mouse). RNAcentral describes it as "oocyte_clustered_small_RNA11196". Lineage: Eukaryota; Metazoa; Chordata; Mammalia; Rodentia; Muridae. The record is from RNAcentral.